GAUGAACGCUGGCGGCGUGCCUAAUACAUGCGAGUCGAGCGAACAGACGAGGAGCUUGCUCCUCUGACGUUAGCGGCGGACGGGUGAGUAACACGUGGAUAACCUACCUAUAAGACUGGGAUAACUUCGGGAAACCGGAGCUAAUACCGGAUAAUAUAUUGAACCGCAUGGUUCAAUAGUGAAAGACGGUUUUGCUGUCACUUAUAGAUGGAUCCGCGCCGCAUUAGCUAGUUGGUAAGGUAACGGCUUACCAAGGCAACGAUGCGUAGCCGACCUGAGAGGGUGAUCGGACACACUGGAACUGAGACACGGUCCAGACUCCUACGGGAGGCAGCAGUAGGGAAUCUUCCGCAAUGGGCGAAAGCUUGACGGAGCAACGCCGCGUGAGUGAUGAAGGUCUUCGGAUCGUAAAACUCUGUUAUUAGGGAAGAACAAAUGUGUAAGUAACUAUGCACGUCUUGACGGUACCUAAUCAGAAAGCCACGGCUAACUACGUG
RNAcentral lists this ribosomal RNA (497 nucleotides) under uncultured bacterium. RNAcentral describes it as "partial 16S ribosomal RNA". It matches the Rfam family "Bacterial small subunit ribosomal RNA", at positions 28 to 507 of the family's 1533-position model. The record is from RNAcentral.